GUUAAAACUCCGGAUCCCGUACGAUCACCGAAGUUAAGCAACGUCGAGACUGAUCAGUACCUGCAUGGGUGAUUUCUUGCGAAUGCCG
Molecule: non-coding RNA, 88 nt
Organism: Acanthosepion pharaonis
Lineage: Eukaryota; Metazoa; Mollusca; Cephalopoda; Sepiida; Sepiidae
Source: the annotation of a GenBank genome assembly